CAGUAGCCGCGGGAAUACGUAGGGUGCAAGCGUUAAUCGGAAUUACUGGGCGUAAAGCGUGCGCAGGCGGUCCGCUAAGACAGAUGUGAAAUCCCCGGGCUUGACCUGGGAACUGCAUUUGUGACUGGCGGGCUAGAGUAUGGCAGAGGGGGGUAGAAUUCCACGUGUAGCAGUGAAAUGCGUAGAGAUGUGGAGGAAUACCGAUGGCGAAGGCAGCUCCCUGGGCCAAUACUGACGCUCAUGCACGAAAGCGUGAGGAGCAAACAGGAUUAGAUACCCCCGUAGUCCCUGUCUCUUAUAC
RNAcentral lists this ribosomal RNA (301 nucleotides) under uncultured bacterium. RNAcentral's name for it is "partial 16S ribosomal RNA". It matches the Rfam family "Bacterial small subunit ribosomal RNA", at positions 509 to 807 of the family's 1533-position model. The record is from RNAcentral.